Molecule: long non-coding RNA, 3879 nt
Filed under: Ananas comosus (pineapple)
Lineage: Eukaryota; Viridiplantae; Streptophyta; Magnoliopsida; Poales; Bromeliaceae
Description: long non-coding RNA (ACOM_LNC007256)
Source: RNAcentral
AUUUUGGAUUUGGAGGUUGAUAGGUGAGUUUUAGCAUUGAAAUUGAAAGAUUAAGCUUAAGUGCUGAAUUUUGGGGUUAUUGAUGCCAUUUUAAUGUUUUUGUGUUUAGAUCUUCGGAGUAAGAUGGAUUUGAACCAGAGGAUGUUAUUCCAUCAUAGUACAUUGCUUUUGGGAUCUUUUCUCACCUGAAUUGGAGAUUGGAAGGUGAAAUUUGCAUUGGAAUUGAGCAAAAUUUAAGCUUGUGGGCUGAUUUGCAUAAGAUUGAUAGAAUUUUGAUAUUUUUGGUGUUUAGAGCCUUGGAGAAGUAUUGUUGCUGGUUGUGGGUGAUUUCGGCUGAAGCUCCCAGCAACUUCGUGACCUUCUCGCUGCCGUGGACUGAGCGCUAGAGGUGGGUUAAUCAUCGGAUUCUCCUCCUAAGUGUAUGCGCAGUCGACAUGUAUAUUUUCAGCAUUUGUAUAUCUUGUUUUAGCUCGAAUUCAUCGAAUAGCAUGUUAAAUAAAAUCUGAAUUUGGAGCAUGCUGUAGUGAGUUAGAUAAAUGAUACAUGUUGGACUUGGAAUUGACUUAGGAGAAACCGGCGAUUCUACACUGUCAUAUGUUGAAACUACCGGAUUUAGCUCUAGGAGCCGUAGUUUAUUUGUAUCCCUGCAGUUUGUGGGUGGCGAAUAUCCAGGAUAGUGUAGAAUGUAUUCACGCUUGUGCUGAGAUGCUGAGCUUAUUUUUACAGCAGUGUUUAGACUGUUCCGGACUGUCGGGUGCCAUCGGGGUUGACGGUGGACCUAGAUUACUGUUUUUGCAUCAGAUUGUGCCGAGAGCACGUGAGUUGGAUUCUUAGACCCUGUUUACUUGACUAUAGCCUGUGAGAGCCUGAUUGAGCUCUACAGAGACAUACUUGCAUACUCGGUUGGGUAGCGCCUACGAGUGCCACUCCGGAGUCAGGCUAUGUGCGUUUGUGUUGGUGUCGAUUUGUCAUGGUUGGACUUGCUCUCCACAGACGGUUUAGUGUGAAGGUAGCUGUAUAGCUUCAAAAGGCGGGACGGGUCUAUUCACAGUCCCUGGGACGGGUGUGUUCACAGUCCCUAAUGAGAUUGGGUCAAAGAUCGUAUUAUUCUACAGAUAGUGGUGUCGGAUCAUGAUAGUAUAGUGGCACAUAGUUAUAGAUUAUUUUCAGUUAUUUACUAUCAUUGAGCAUAUCAUCUGUAGACUUAGUGGGUGAGCCGAUGAGUUGAAGGCGGUACCCACUGAGGACUACUUAUUUUUGCAGUAGUUCUCACGCCCAUCUGUUACCCCUCUUUUGCAGAGCCUUCGGUUCCGGCUGCUGCUACUACCGAGACUGAUCGUGUGUAAUGCACUGGACCUUUGCAAAUUGCGAGGUUCGAGUGUUCGAUUUGUGUUCCGAGAUUUUCCACACUUUCUGGAGGGUCGUAGACAGUGUCCGACCUAUGGCUCGCAUCCUGAGAAACAAGGUUUUAAACUUAGCGCUAAGGUCUCCAAAGAGAAGGACUUAGGCUGUUCUCGAGUUGGUUUCUGCUCAGUGUGGUACCGGUACAGCAUUGAGUUUGUACCGGAAUGAGGGGUGGUACCGUUACAACAUCGGGUUUGUACCGGUAUCAGGCGUCAUUUUCUGCCAACCCGAGGCUCGGGUUUGUGUGCACAGUGUUUGGUACCGGUACUCUUUAUCGUGUAUCGGUACGCAGUGCAGACUGCAGUCUGCUUGUUUUUUAGGGGUGUUUUUGAUAUUGUAGCCUUAUUACAUAUAUCCCCCAUGCCCCAUGGAGGUUCUCUGAGCUGAGACCAGAGGAGAGAAAGGUAGGGAAGCCCUCCUCUUUCUCUCUUUGAUUCUCCUUCAUUUUAGUUGGAAUUUUUGAAGUUUAAUCACUUCUUUUGGUCUCUUUUUGCUUCUUGGUGCUUUUGCCUCCAUGGGAGAAGGCUCGGAGCUCAAUUUGAGGCUUGUUGGAGGAGAGAUUUUCAACCUUAGUUGAUUCCUAGCCUUGUUUGGAGCUUUUCUUGAGGUUAGUACCUUGUUUUCCCCUUUUGAUCCAUGUUUUGAUGGAUUUGCUUGAUGAAACCCUAGAAUGUGAGAUUUAGGAUUUAUUUUGGGGAUUUUUGAUUAGAGGCUUUUGGAACUUAAUUGAUAGGUGUAGAAUCUUCAUUUGGGUUGGAUUAGAGGGGUUCUAACUCUCAUCUGGAGAUUGAGAGAGAUUUCCACCGUUCAAGGUGAGUUUUUGCCUUUUUCUCGAGACGGUUAAUGUUUGAACUUAGGGGUGUUCAUUCGACGCGUUUAACUCUCUUAGUUUUACCUUUAGGGAGCUAGGAGUCUAGUGGACAUCUUCUUUUGCGCGAACGAAGGGUUCCAAGGAGCUCUUGGUGGGUUUGGCCUCACCGAAAUGAGAUAAAUUCCACCUAUGAUGGUUUUACUUGUCGUAAAAUGAAACUUCAUGCACAUUCAUGCUAGAUAGAAUAUUUAUGAAUUUUAGAAUACUUAAAAGGCAUAUGUCAUGUAUCAUGAGUUUUGAUCUCUAUGUAGUAGAGGAUUAUGUGCAUAGUACUCAUGUUAGUAUAUGGUAGUCUCAUGAUAUGUUGAAACUAUGUUAUUGGUAGUUAAAUGACAAGCAUUUACUUAUUACGAAUGAUGGACAUAUGCUAGGUAUAGUAGAAAACCCAAUGUCAUAAAGUGGCAUUAGACUUGGAAUAUAUGUAUAUGGACUUGGAAUAUAAUAUGCUUGGACAUAGUAAAACAUAACGUCAUGAAGUGGCAUUAGUCUUAGAGUAUGAUUGGACAUAGUAAGUCAUAAUGUCAUAAAGGGAUAUUGGACUUAAUGAAUGGUUAAACCUUCACAUUGAGGCAUAGAACUAGACCUUGGAUUGCUAGUGAUUAUUACCAUGUCAGAGACAUGAUGACCGGGUUCUUGAGAUGACGACUAUGCUUGCUUCCCAUUUGUGCUCAUUCGUACAUGCUUGUGAGGGUCACUCCCUAUAAGCUGGCACUCCGGAGUUAGCCUACGCGACAUAUGCUCGCUUGUGCGAUAUUGAGAAAUCUACGGGGCCGGAUGGGAUAGACUCAUUCCUAGAGUAGGAAUGUUGGGGCUAUCAUGGGCACUUAGGCGGCACAAGCCGGACUAUGUUGGGUAGGUCCUUAAUUAGAAAUGGAAAUGGACAUUAAAUCAUAAUGUGACAAUUACUAUUAGAUAGUUUAUAGUAGUUGGACAUCUUGAACAUGCUUGUGGCAUAGUAUUGGACAUGUAGUAUUCUUGAUAGUGUUGCUUGUUGCAUUAUAGUAUACUCAUUUGACAUGUUAGAGCAUACUAGCAUAAUCAUGUGAUGUACUCCUUUAUGUUAGGCUAGCUAUUGCAAUUAUGGAACUGCAUGUUAAGUAGUGGCAUAGUAGCUAGCAAGUUUAAAUCAUGUUUAAGAUUCAUGCUAUUUCUUCCAAUUAAAUGUUAGAAUUAUCUACUUUUGCUUUUGGGCCUAGUGGUGCAUUUUGCUAAGGUCAGUAAUUACCCACUGGGAACUAUUAAUUAUAGUUCUCACGCCCACUUGUUCGAUGUUUUCUUACAGAGCCUUCCACCCCGGGAGAGACUCGGGAUCGUAGGAAAGGGAUCGCCUCGAGCUAGUUAGCGAGGGAUUUUGCGAUAGGUGGUUCACCUCUCUUUUAUUUUUUUAUUUUGGAGAGGUUGAGAGACUUGUACCAUUUUGUAGAGACCACCUUUUUUUUGUAUCUAGAGCUAUGUAUGGAUCAAGUGAUGUUCUUACUUUUGGGUUGUUAGUUAUUUGGUUCUUUUACUUAUCCGCUUGUUCUUUAGAAUUUAGUUAUGCUCUUGCUCUGAUAUCUCUAGAUCUUUUAUUUACGUGCUUUCAUACUCUAUUGUCGUUAGACGCC